This 460-nucleotide ribosomal RNA is filed under the name uncultured bacterium. RNAcentral describes it as "partial 16S ribosomal RNA". It matches the Rfam family "Bacterial small subunit ribosomal RNA", at positions 338 to 795 of the family's 1533-position model. The record is from RNAcentral.
CCUACGGGAGGCAGCAGUGAGGAAUCUUCGUCAAUGGACGAGAGUCUGAACCAGCCAAGUAGCGUGAAGGAUGACUGCCCUCUGGGUGGUAAACUUCUUUUAUAAAGGAAUAAAACGAGGAACGUUUACCUUUUUUAUUGUACUUUAUGAAUAAGGAUCGGCUAACUACGUGCCAGCAGCCGCGGUAAUAAGGAGGUUCCGAUGGUUAUCCGGAUUUAUUGGGUUUAAAUGGAGCGUAGAUGGUUUGUUAAGUCCGGUGUGAAAGUUUGCGGCUCAACAGUAAAAUUGCAAUUGAUACUGGCAGUCUUGAGUACAGUUGAGGUAGGCGGAAUUCGUGGUGUAGCGGUGAAAUGCGUAGAUAUCACGAAGAACCCCGAGUGCGAAGGCAGCUUACUAAACUGUGACUGACAUUGAUGCUCGAAAGUGUGGGUAUCAAACAGGAUUAGAUACCCGGGUAGUC